AGCAGCCGCGGUAAUUCCAGCUCCAAUAGCGUAUAUUAAAGUUGCUGCAGUUAAAAGCUCGUAGUUGAAUUUCGGGACUAAUAUGUCGGUCGUGCCUCGGUACGUACUGGUUUAUUGGUUUCCCCUUUCUGAAGAACCAUGAUGUCAUUUAUUUGGUGUCGUGGGGAAUCAGGACUGUUACUUUGAAAAAUUAGAGUGGUUAAAGCAGGCUCACGCUUGAAUACAUUAGCAUGGAAUAAUGAAAUAGGACGUUUGAUUCUAUUUUGUUGGUUUCUAGGACCGACGUAAUGAUUAAUAGGGAUAGUUGGGGGCAUUAGUAUUCAAUUGUCAGAGGUGAAAUUCUUGGAUUUAUUGAAGACUAACUACUGCGAAAGCAUUUGCCAAGGAUGUUUUCAUUAAUCAAGAACGAAAGUUAGGGAUCGAAGACGAUCAGAUACCGUCGUAG
RNAcentral lists this ribosomal RNA (445 nucleotides) under uncultured Glomeromycotina. RNAcentral describes it as "SSU rRNA". It matches the Rfam family "Eukaryotic small subunit ribosomal RNA", at positions 569 to 1023 of the family's 1831-position model. Lineage: Eukaryota; Fungi; Glomeromycota. The record is from RNAcentral.